Molecule: long non-coding RNA, 2249 nt
Filed under: Homo sapiens (human)
Lineage: Eukaryota; Metazoa; Chordata; Mammalia; Primates; Hominidae
Description: HSALNT0061178
Source: RNAcentral
GUACCAGGACAUCGCCCCAAUUAUCUAUGCAACGGCUCCUCAAUGCUGGCCUUACAACAGAGGCGGCAGCUGUCUCCGCUUAUUACACCUCCCCGCCCCCUGCCAUGGCCGGCACUGACUCUGCCUCUGACGCUGAGGAUACGCACUGCACACGCCCUGCCAGAUGCCAAAGGAAGCCAUUCUUCUGGAAGAAGACUUUCUCCUGAAAGCCUCCUGGAGGCAAAGUUCUGGCAGAACGAGGCAAUUUCCCUCCCUGCAGGCGGAAGGAAGGCAAUUAGAGCGGGAGCUAGGGCUGAGAGAGGGGAAAUGAUGCAGACACUGCCACCCAGCAAGUGAGAGGAAGGACUGAACAUGGACAGAAGGGCUUGAGACAUUGAGCCUUGGCUGCUUUCACCCAUCCCUUCAAUUGCUGCCCUCUUUUCUAAUGGCCUGAGUCUCCAAAUGGAGCCAAGCUGGGGGCACCCUGGCCAGGAGAUGUGGCCUGCUGUGCCCCUGAGAAGAGCUGUCCCAGGCACACAGAGACAACAUUUGGAAGUGGAAAAUGCCUCUGGAGCAGUCAGAGUGUUGGGAAGUCUCAUCCCAUUCUCCGUUUCAGGAACCUUCCCUCAGCAACAGCAGAGCAGAAGGGAACUCAGUUCAGCAUAACUCGGCAAGUAUUCCCGAGCAGCAUGCUUGGGCUGGGCAGGGGAGACUGUCACAGCCAGAGUGGGCAGUGCUGUGACAGGAGGCUCCCUGUGCAGUUCCACUUUGUCUCUGUGACUUCGCACAGGUUGUUCCCUUGCCUGGAAUGUCCUCCCCCAACCUUUUCUUCCUGGAAAACUUCUAUUCAGCAAAACUCAGGUUAAAUUUCACCUCCUCCAAGAAGGCUUUUUCAACUCUCUAUGCUGUGCUCUCAGAGCCCCCUCCUCAACACACACACACACACACACACACACACACACACACACACACACACACACACACACACACACAGCUUUCCUCUACCAGGACACUAUCUGCUUCUUGACUAGACUGCAAACUCUUUGAAGUGAGUGAUCAUUUAACCAGCAUGAUGUUUGUCACAUAGUAGAUACUUCGUCAAUGUUUAGGAGCCAAGGAGAGAAACCACAGUGAACAGCCACACUGUACUUUCCUCACUGUGAUCAGCACAGUCUUGAACUGUGGCGUAAGGGCUUCCCUGUGAUCCAAGGAGGUGCUUCCUGCUGGUGAAGGAGGAGUUGGGCCCGGGGCUGCAGCCACCUGGGCGAGAAACCACUGGGAACCUGCUCUGUGCCAGGCCCUGCCUGGGCUUUGGGGGUGGGAGUAAGACACAGUCCCUGUCCUGAGGACCUGCAGUCUGGUGGAGUGGACAGGAGCUGGGUUGACAUAGGAUCUGCCAGGCAGAGGGUGCUGAUUGUCAUAGACAGCUUGGAUGUCAGGGGAGCCUGAGGUGGAGAGUGGUGGUGGCUAUUGAGACCAUUCUCCAGAGAGGACGGGGUGCAGGUAGAGUUUCAACAGGUUGAUGGAAGGGGAUUCCAAGUGGAGGGGGGACCAAGGACAAUGACAGAGAGACGGGAGCCUGCAGAGCAGUUGAGUAUCAGUGAAGUAUGGGAGCUCAGCUAUGGCAUCUUGGAGCUAGAGGGAGAGAAAGAUGAGGGGUGAGCCUGGAGCCUACAGCUGCCAGUGCUGGAGGGCCCCUUGCAUCAAAGCCCUUUCCUGUGGAGGAUAACGGGGGCCUUGAGACCAGGAUGCCUGCCAGGAGACUGGGCCAGAUUGGAGGGCUUUGAGUGUACUGAUACAGAUUGCUUAAGCCUGACCCAGUGGGCAGCAGACAUCUUCACACAGGGGGUACAGGCUGGACCAGCAUGAAGGCAGGAUCUGUGGGGCAUCUGCACUACCACGUGAAGUUUAGCAGGCCUCUGCACCCUGCCUGUCUCUGCACCUCUCCUGCCAUUAUGCCUUGAUUCAGGCCUUGCUCCUUUGAGUAAAGACACUGCCUCCUCUUAGGAUGCCCACACUCCCAGAAAGGGUAGCACGUUAGGCCUCAGAUACCCCAGCAUGGGCCAGUGGAAAUGGACUGGAGAGACUCAAGCCAGCACGAGGGUACUUGGAGCCUGGGGAAUGGGGGGUGGGGCCAGGCAGGAGGACACCAAUGCCAGCAUCACCCUAAGGGAAGCCUGGGGUGAUCUCACAGCCUUGCCUGAGAUGUGGGACAGUCUGACAGGCAGCUGGGCCAGCGGCUCCUCCCUCAGCCUACAGAUGGAUAGGAA